UAGGGAAUAUUGCACAAUGGAGGAAACUCUGAUGCAGCGACGCCGCGUGAGUGACGAAGGCCUUCGGGUUGUAAAGCUCUGUUCUUAGGGAAAAAGAAAGUGAUUGUACCUAAGAAGAAAGGACCGGCUAACUUCGUGCCAGCAGCCGCGGUAAGACGAGGGGUCCAAGCGUUGUUCGGAAUCAUUGGGCGUAAAGCGGGUGUAGGCGGCUCUAUAAGUCAGAAGUGAAAGCCCCGAGCUUAACUCGGGAAGUGCUUUUGAUACUGCAGAGCUUGAAUGUGGGAGAGGGUAGUGGAAUUCCAGGUGUAGUGGUGAAAUACGUAUAUAUCUGGAGGAACACCGGUGGCGAAGGCGGCUACCUGGCCCAACAUUGACGCUGAGACCCGAAAGCAUGGGGAUCAAACA
Molecule: ribosomal RNA, 405 nt
Filed under: uncultured Bdellovibrio sp.
Lineage: Bacteria; Pseudomonadati; Bdellovibrionota; Bdellovibrionia; Bdellovibrionales; Pseudobdellovibrionaceae
Description: bacterial SSU rRNA
Rfam family: Bacterial small subunit ribosomal RNA
Source: RNAcentral